This is a non-coding RNA of Penicillium decumbens, 86 nucleotides long. Lineage: Eukaryota; Fungi; Ascomycota; Eurotiomycetes; Eurotiales; Aspergillaceae. The record is from Rfam.
NCUUCCUUGGUCUAGUGGUCAUGAUUUCCGCUUGUCAUUAACACUGAUAAGCGCGGGAGACCGGGGUUCGAUUCCCCGAGGGAGAG